UACGUAGGGGGCUAGCGUUGUCCGGAUUUAUUGGGCGUAAAGAGCUCGUAGGCGGUUUGUCGCGUCUGCUGUGAAAACUCGGGGCUUAACCCCGGGCCUGCAGUGGGUACGGGCAGACUAGAGUGCGGUAGGGGGAGACUGGAAUUCCUGGUGUAGCGGUGAAAUGCGCAGAUAUCAGGAGGAACACCGGUGGCGGAAGGCGGCCCUCUGGACGGUGACUGACGCUGGAGGCGCGAAAGCCAGGGGAGCGAACGGG
Molecule: ribosomal RNA, 256 nt
Filed under: uncultured bacterium
Lineage: Bacteria
Description: partial 16S ribosomal RNA
Rfam family: Bacterial small subunit ribosomal RNA
Source: RNAcentral